Ahaetulla prasina is the source of this 608-nucleotide long non-coding RNA. RefSeq lists it as uncharacterized. NCBI's taxonomy places the organism in Eukaryota, Metazoa, Chordata, Lepidosauria, Squamata, Colubridae. The transcript has 3 exons. The record is from RefSeq and is a predicted model, not a curated record.
GCUAUGAUGUUUCAUGAGCCACGCUUCUGGGUAUUAUGUGAAAGUGACCUAAUCUACUCAUCUUAACUCAUCAAAUGAAAACUGGACAAACAUGUUUAGGGAUCUGGUUUCGCUGGUAAUACAUAUACUUUGAGAAUGCUUUCAUUUUCAUUUAAAUCCUCCAUAAACAUUCGAUGUGUGGAAAGUUGUUGAGAAGACAGUGAGCCUGCAGCAGCAAAUGAAAGGAUCCAGAUAAUCUGGAAGGAACAGCUGUCUGCAUCUGAUUUUUAUUCUUGCGCAGCCCCAGCUCAAACUGGAACCCCAAAUUACUAUUCUGACAACAGCGAUUGAUACAAUCAGCUCCAAGGGUUGGGAAUUGUAGGCCCCAUUCUUCAAAGGUUCAAUGGCCAGAAAGUCCCCGACCUGGAGUGAAAAUCAUUGCUACAGUUACUCUUCUGCUUGCCAUUGCACAGCACAGUAAAUCUAAUACCUGUGCACGAGACAACUCCAGGAAUCACAACUAAAUAUAGCGGCAUGCAUCUUAACCAAGACAACCUGAUAUUAUCAUAUAGCAGCAAUAUCACAGGAGAUGUAUUCAUGUUGAUUUGUUUUCGGAUGUAAUUAAAGAU